This 73-nucleotide transfer RNA is filed under the name bacterium. RNAcentral's name for it is "tRNA-Thr". It matches the Rfam family "tRNA". Rfam says of the family: Transfer RNA (tRNA) molecules are approximately 80 nucleotides in length. Their secondary structure includes four short double-helical elements and three loops (D, anti-codon, and T loops). Further hydrogen bonds mediate the characteristic L-shaped molecular structure. tRNAs have two regions of fundamental functional importance: the anti-codon, which is responsible for specific mRNA codon recognition, and the 3' end, to which the tRNAs corresponding amino acid is attached (by aminoacyl-tRNA synthetases). tRNAs cope with the degeneracy of the genetic code in two manners: having more than one tRNA (with a specific anti-codon) for a particular amino acid; and 'wobble' base-pairing, i.e. permitting non-standard base-pairing at the 3rd anti-codon position. RNAcentral also lists the same sequence under 2 other names. The record is from RNAcentral.
GCCCACGUAGCUCAGAAGGUGGAGCACGUCCUUGGUAAGGACGAGGUCAUCGGUUCAAGUCCGAUCGUGGGCU